CCAAUAGCGUAUAUUAAAGUUGUUGCAGUUAAAAAGCUCGUAGUUGAAUUUCGGGAUCGAAUUGUUGGUCGUGCUUCGGUACGCACUGGCAUUAUCGGUUCCUACCUUCUGAAGAACCGCGAUGUCAUUAAUUUGGUGUCGUGGGGAAUCAGGACUGUUACUUUGAAAAAAUUAGAGUGUUUAAAGCAGGCUUACGCUUGAAUACAUUAGCAUGGAAUAAUGAAAUAGGACGUUUGAUUCUAUUUUGUUGGUUUCUAGGAUCGACGUAAUGAUUAAUAGGGAUAGUUGGGGGCAUUAGUAUUCAAUUGUCAGAGGUGAAAUUCUUGGAUUUAUUGAAGACUAACUACUGCGAAAGCAUUUGCCAAGGAUGUUUUCAUUAAUCAAGAACGAAAGUUAGGGGAUCGAAGACGAUCAGAUACCGUCGUAGUCUUAACCAUAAACUAUGCCGACUAGGGAUCGGAUGAUGUUAAUUUUUUAAUGACUCAUUCGGCGCCUUACG
This 499-nucleotide ribosomal RNA is filed under the name uncultured Glomeromycotina. Its description in RNAcentral is "SSU rRNA". It matches the Rfam family "Eukaryotic small subunit ribosomal RNA", at positions 591 to 1092 of the family's 1831-position model. Lineage: Eukaryota; Fungi; Glomeromycota. The record is from RNAcentral.